AAGAUACGUACAUCGGACUAAAAGAUGAGGCCAAGCGGAUCGUACUAGACAUCAAUGUGUCAAAGACAAAGUACAUGAAAGGCAGGGGCUCGAGAGAAGAUAACGUCAGCCACCCAUUACGAGUUCUGAUUGGUGGUGAUGAAAUCGAAAUGGUCGACGAGUUCGUGUACUUGGGCUCACUGGUGACUGCCGGUAAUGACACCAGCAAAGAAAUUCAGAGACGCAUAUUGUCAGGAAAUCGUGCUUACUUUGGACUGCGCAGGACGCUUCGAUCGAGAAAAAUUUGCCGUCGUACGAAGUUAACUAUCUACAAAACGCUGAUUAGACCGGUUAUCCUCUACGGGCACGAGUCCUGGACAAUGCUUGCGGAGGAUCAACGCGCACUAGGCGUUUUUGAACAGAAGGUGUUGCGAACCAUCUUCGGCGGAGUGCGGAUGGAAGACGGUACGUGGAGAAGGCGAAUGAACCACGAACUGCACCAGUUGCUGGGAGGACCAACCCUCAUCCAAACGGCCAAGGUCGGGCGGUUACGGUGGGCCGGGCAUGUUGUUAGAAUGUCGGAGAACAACCCGGUUAAAAUGAUUCUCGAUAAUGAUCCGACCGGUAUAAGAAGAAGAGGCGAGGCCGGCGGCGAACAGCCAUGAACCGAGUUGAAUGGAGACGCAUCCUGUAUACAGCAGAGACCCGCGUGGUCUACGACUGGAAGAGUAACAGUAAGAGUAAGAUAGCAAUUCUAAUUUCAAUCCAUGGAAUUUAGCUACGUUAAUGAUUUGGGAAAAUAUUUCCAUCAUUGUUUUCAUAAUCGGUGUUGCCACGACCACAUUUAAAUUCAGCAUACCAGUUAGUAAUUACUUAUUUUGUAGGAGUAGAGUCUGGAUAAUGCUUAUCAAGCUUUAUAUAAGCACAUAAAAUUCUUCUUUCUCCAUUGUCUCUAAUUUUCCUGAAGAAGCGUUACAGAAAGCCCAAAAACUAAUAAUACUAAUGAAUCUAAUUCUAAGAAUUUUUGACAGAUGACAUCUCUAUUGAACGCCCAAAAACUAAUAAUACUAAUGAAUCGAAUUCUAAGAAUAUUUGACAGAUGACAUCUCUAUUGAACGCUAGAGGGAUUUUUGAUUAGUGACGCCAUCCAUCUUGUAACGUUAGACUAAUUUUGUUAUGUUAUAUCAAGUAUGCACUGAACGAAAAUUCGGAAAGUUAAACAUAUGUGGUAUACGUUGGAUGAAGCACAAACUUGCGAUACUGGCAGCACGGCACAAGCACUGAUCGUUUUAUCAUCAAACGCACAAGGCAGCUAGCGUAUAGUGGUUUCCGCUUACACGUCACUAGCACAAAGAAGAAACUGAAAAGAAAAGCACAGUCAACUUCCUUGUCCAACGAAGACGGACGUCUUUUCGCUCGGAGACAUCAACCAGAAGAGAUAUGGCUCGGCCAUAGUUCGUUACCGAAAAGAAAACUGGUUGCAAAAAAGCAAAAAUAGAAUCAAGCUCGAGCAAAGUAAAUCGCGGCACAUGGAUUCAUGACGUCACCGUUCACUGAGCACGAGGGAUCGAGCACACAAAGAACGUCCAGCUCAUCCAUAAAGAACCCGGAAAGGGUCUUUCUUCUGGAUCUUUCUGUUGGAUUUUUCUUUUGGAUUAUUAUUCUUCUGGAACUGGAGCUCUCUUGGCUCGAACACCGCACUGGAGACCGCACUGAUAGCUGGAGACAAUCAUCAGCAGCUGCGAAGGGACUCCAUUCUGGGUCAGAGGUUGAAGCCCUCUCGACACCGCGCCGGAUGUUGUGCUGAUACUGCACCGAGACAUUACGGAGACGUGCUAACGCCGGAAUUCAUCGUGGGGUCAAUAUCCUGCACGAAAUCAGUGUUUAAACCUGACCACUCGGACAUCGUGCUUCCUCCGUGUCUUGCAGUGUUUUAGUGUCGCCAUAUCAUCAUACCCUGUAGGCGACAUCGUCGCGCUGACGCCGUCAUAUGGAAACUUCAUGUGAGCUGAACGUCAAAUGCUCUGCAUCGUGAGUGAAGAUGCAUGUGGUGUGAUUAGGAUAGAUAGGAUGGAAGGAUGAUUUCGGUAAGCGUCUUGAUUAUUUAUUAGUGAGGACACAGGAAGAGAUUUGAGGCAAGAUAGAGAGGAACAUGAAGCUGUGUAGUUAGAGGAAGUAUUUCAAGUUUUGUGGAGGAAAGGCAGGAGACGGAAGAGAUGAGAGUGCAUGCUCGGUCAACAUAAACAAUAUGAAACGAUACACAAUAUGAUUUUUAUUUGGGCUAGUUGGCUUUCCGUCACCUAAAGGGAAGAAAUUCCUAUAUUUUACAUUGGCGCCCAACUGAAAACCCCACCUAUUUGAAAAAUUAAUGUUAGAGUUUGAGUUUUGUGAUUUGGGUGAUAGUUUGUUUUAAGCAUAUUUUGAUUUGUGAAUUCAGUUCGAUCUUUUAAGUAUGGAUUAUACACACUUAAUCGAUGAAGAAAUUGAUUAUGAGUUGGCGUUGAGACAUGUAGUCAAUAUAACCGCAAAGACUCACCGCACUAGAGUGCAGCUUUUACUUAAAGCAAUCCGCGAAGAUGAAUCGGGAAAUAUAGUUCGAAGAAGCGUUGAUCACGCUAUAACACCUUCGGAAAAUUUAGAGUCAUGUCGAUUUCAGAUUUAUGAACUUCAAAAACUGGUUGAAGUUGCUCUUAGAAAUAUAAACAUUGAAAUGCUUGUUCAAUUACGGUCGCGUAUCGCACAUUAUCGGUCUCGUUUAUCACUAAUAAAUCCGCCGAGUGAUCGUUUAGAGAUGCACAGUUCAUUGUGUGCUCUAGUUAAAGUGAUGGGAAGUGAUGUUAGAAGUGUAUUAAAUAAAGCAGUGACUCGUGUGGUGCAAGGCAGCAGCAUAGCACCAGCACAACAGAAUAACACAGCAGUCGAUAGCAAUGCGACAACGGUAACCGCAGAUGGGCAGCAUAGAUUGGAACCACCCUCCACCUCCCCUCGAGCUGCAGGACAAGCAAGCAGUUCAUCAUGGUCGAACGUUACCGGUAGGAGAUUUGAUGGAAGUUCACAUUACUCUCCACUUCCAUUAGGAAAUCAAAGAAACUUGGUGAGCAAUACCAAUACGAGAGGGAUGGAUAGCGUGCUCCAAGAUAACUCGCAUCUGAAUCAAACGGGAGCUUCGAAUGAAUAUUGGCCCCCACCACCGAGAAGACAGCAAGAAGAGAACCCAACUGGCAAUUGGAAUCGAAACAAUGUUUGUCGCAAUGCAUGGGAAGAAUACAACGAAUUACGAGAUGAUUUGCUUCGACAUCUGCUACGACGAGAAUCAAGACCAACGCAAGAAAGAGGCGAAGACAGACGCAUGCUAAAGGCAGUACAUAACUGGCCUUUCAAAUUUCGAGGAGAAAAGGAUACAACAUCGUUGAACAUAUUUCUGGAUCGGGUUGAGACAUUUGCCAGAUCGGAAGGCAUGAAUGACGACACUUUGUUGUCAUCAAUUAAGCAUUUACUGCAAGAAGAUGCGCUUGAUUGGUACGCUCGAGCCAUGGCGCAGAACAGAUUAAGCUCCUGGGAAGCAUUCAAGCAGGAGAUACGCAAGGAAUUUCUACCAGCAGGAUAUGCACAGAUACUACGUUUGGAAGCUUGCUUUCGCUUUCAAGGGCAAAAUGAAACUUUUGCGAAAUACUACCGAGACAUCGCAGCUCUUUUUCGAUUUGUGACACCACCAAUGGAGCAAGAAGAACAGUUCUUUAUCGUCAAGAAAAACAUGAACGCAGACUACGCAGCGAUCGUCACCGCAGCAAGGCCUCAUUCACUGCAGGAGAUGGUCGAGAUUUGCACGAGCUAUGAUGAAACCAGAUUGCUUUUGAGUAGACAGAGACGACUUCCAGUACCACACAGCGCAUUGUUGGAACCUAGUUUCGCAACUCCAACGGCUACAGUAAAAUCACCGCAGACAACGCAGUAUCAUCAACGUUUCGCUAGAGUUCACGCGGUACAAUCAGAAGAGAAUGCUGCAGAAGAAUAUGGUUCCGUUGAGGGCUUAGAACCAAUCCCCGAGACUGCUCAAUCACAGGAUGAAAACAAUCACUGGUCUUGGAAACUUGAUCAACUGAUGGAGCAAGUGUGCGAGUUAAAACUGCAAUGGUCAACAAGACUCCCCAGAACGUCGAAUUCCCAGAAGACGGAACAACCAAUGCAGCAACAUAGAGACGCGCGGCAACUGGCACGGCCGCCAACAACCGUUCAAACGAAUACGCUGCAAAAUCAACGGCGAUUUCCAAUAGCCGUAAAGCAAGAAAGGAGGACGGAAGCUAAACAGGAACAGCAUCCAUCACUGAUACAACAGGAAGACAUUUCGGAUUAUCGGCGACUAGUAUUGAUUUGCUGGAAUUGUGAUGAAGAAGGACAUCGUUUUAUGGAUUGUCCAAAACCACAAGCAAUCCUGUUUUGUUACAGAUGUGGAAGAAAAGGAUACUCCUUACGCAGCUGCUUUACUUGCAGAACAGACACGGGAAACGAAGAAGCGGAGAACCGACAGUAGAGGGAGACGAUUUUCCGCAGCAGUUCGAGAAUCCCUCAGCAGUUCCUGAAUUUAAAAACAUUAGUUCGAUCAUCAUCAAUCUCGGACAAGACAACCGGCCGCAUGCAGUCAUCAGUGUGCUAGGCAGAAACAUAACAGCCUUAUUAGACAGCGGCGCUAACUGUUCGUUGUUAGGAGGAAGCUACGUGAAGUUGGUAGAAGAACUCCAGUUACGAGAAGGCAUUGUAAACGGUGGCAUCCAAACAGCUGAUGGAACUCAGCACAAGAUAAACAGCUUCACUCGAUUGCCUAUCGUAUACAACAAUCGGAAUGAAACGUUACCGGUACUCUUGGUUCCCACCAUUCCAGAUUGUGUGAUUUUAGGAAUGAAUUUUUGGGAGAAAUUCGGAGUAAAGGCGAUUUGCUGUACACUUGAAGCCGAUUUCCAGAAAACGAAGUCUACAGAAGAAGAGUCGAUGAAAGUCCUGACAGAUGAGCAGUAUCAUAGACUUCAGCAAGUGAUAAGAACUUUCCCGAAAGCAACCGGUGACAAGUUAGGAAGAACUUCCAUGUAUGAGCAUCGGAUCGACGUCGGACAGGCAGUUCCGCGUAAGCAGCGCUACUAUCCAAUGUCUCCAUACGUUCUAGAAGAGGUCAACCGUGAAAUCGACAGGAUGAUAGCAUUAGACGUGAUUGAAUACGCACUUUAUUCACCUUGGAAUAACCCUUUGGUAGCGGUAAAAAAGAAAACAGGCCAAUACCGCGUCUGUUUAGAUGCUAGACACCUAAACUCCGUCAUGGUCAACGAAGGAUAUCCAAUACCGCAGAUAUCAUCGAUCUUGAACAACCUCGGUGGAUGCGCUUACAUAUCGUCGCUUGAUCUGAAGGACGCAUUUUGGCAACUACCGUUGCAUCCAGAUUCGAGACCUCUAACAGCUUUCACAGUCCCGUCCAGAGGACACUUCCAAUUCAAAGUGGUUCCAUUCGGAUUAUGCACGGCGAGUCAAGCAUUGGCACGAGUAAUGACACAACUGUUUGCAGACAUGGAGCCGCAAGUAUUCCAUUAUUUGGACGACAUAGUUAUCUGUUCUAAGACGUUUGAGGAACACUUGAAAACCUUGGAGGAGGUAACGAGGCGUUUGGAGCAUGCGGGAUUAACAAUAUCAACAGAAAAGUCCAAGUUUUGUCGUCGCGAAAUCAAAUAUCUCGGGCACAUUCUCAACGAGAGUGGAUGGAAAGUUGAUGAGGAUAAGAUAGCAAGCAUCGUUAAGUUUCCGAUUCCAUCAAGCAGGAAGGAAGUUCAACGAUUCCUCGGUCUCUGUAAUUGGUAUCGUCGGUUCAUCGGAGAUUUCUCAAAACUGGCCGCGCCAAUCACAGAACUCACGAAGACAAAAGCGAAAUUUCAAUGGAAUCCACAAGCAGAGCAGGCGUUCCUGAAGCUGAAAGCAGCGUUGGUAUCAGCACCAGUAUUGGCAAUGCCAGAUUACACAAAGCCAUUUGAUAUUGCGUGCGACGCUAGUGAUGUGGCAAUAGGAGCAGUGCUAUCACAGAACAUAGAGGGAGAAGAACAUCCUAUUUGCUAUUUUUCGCAAAAACUCUCAUCUUCGGAAAGGAAGUACUCAGUGACAGAGCGAGAAUGUUUGGCCGUAAUUCGUGCUAUUGAGAAGUUUCGAGGAUACGUCGAAGGCACCAGAUUCACAGUAUACUGUGAUCAUGCAGCAUUGAGUUAUCUGAGAUCCAUGAAGAACCCAACAGCGCUCAUGAGUCGAUGGUUGUUGAGGCUUAACGCAUAUAAUUUCGACAUCAAGUAUCGGAAAGGCAGCAUCAACGUCGUUCCGGACGCGUUAUCGAGAAUUGUUUCUAGCAUGGUGUUUGUGAUUGAUGAGGUUAAAGACGAUUGGUACAAAAGCCUGAGAAAGCGGAUAAUGAACAACGGGGACAGCUUUCCAGACUUUCGAUUGAUAGGAGAUGAGCUGUACAAAAACUGUCUCUGCAAGGAUGAGCUUGGAAACACAAGUCACAAAUGGAAGAAGGUCGUUCCAAAAGAAGAGCGAACCGAUAUCAUCAGACGAUAUCACGAUUCACCAACAGCCGCACAUCUAGGUUUCUUCAAAACAUGGCAGAAAAUUCAGUCUCAUUUCUACUGGCCAAAAAUGCAGCUAGAAAUUGGCAAGUACGUGAGGGAGUGUAGUACGUGCAAGGCGAGCAAAGCUCCGAACACUCGAAUGCUUCCUACAAUGGGCAAGCUGAAACCGGCUAGACUGCCAUGGGAACUGAUUUCGAUGGAUUUUGUGGGCCCGUUGACAAGAUCAAAGCGAGGAAACACCGUUAUGCUGGUAAUUGUUGAUUGGAUUACGAAGUAUGUCAUCGUGCACCCCAUGCGAUCAGCUGAUGCGACAAAAAUGGUAGAAUUCUUAGAGAAGGAAGUGUUUCUGAAAUUCUCUCGUCCAAGAAUAGUACUGAGCGACAACGGAAAGCAAUUUGAAUCCAUGGCAUUCAAAUCUUUGCUAGCACGGCACAACAUCGUGCACAUGAAAACGGCGUUCUACUGUCCAAUGGUUAACAACACGGAGAGGGUCAACCGAGUUCUCGUGACAUGUAUACGUUCACUGUUAGAAGGGGAUCAUCGUGAAUGGGAUGAACAGCUUCCGGCGAUAACGGCGGCAAUCAACAGUGCCAAACACGAAGUAACCGGAGUCAGUCCACACUCAGCGAACUUCGGCAGAGAUCUCAUUCUUCACACGGACCUGUACAAACAACAGAAUCUGAAUGCUGAGGACGACCCAAAGGUGGCGCAGGACAUGCGAUUAUCAAAAAUCCAGCGAAUUCAAAAGUUCAUUGUAAAGCGUAUUCAAAGCAAUCACGACAAAUCAAAACAACGAUAUGAUUUCAGAAAACGUGUAACUUCAUUCAAGAUUGGCGAUUUGGUAUGGCGCAGAACAUUCGGGCUAUCAUCGAAAUUGAAUCACAUCAGCCAGAAAUUAGAUCCAAAAUUUGUACCAGCCAUAGUUAAAGAAACGCUUGGAACAAAUCUGUAUCUCUUAGAGGACGUUACCACUGGAAAAAGGGGACGAUAUCAUGCGAAGGACAUCAAAGCCGAUUAGAGAACUCUUAUACAGCUAUGUACGCAGGCCAAGUCUGUUAACAAAGAGUUUUGAAGCUCCAGAAACACCGCAAGUGAUCGGGAUGAUUUACAUAUUAUCAGGGUGCGGCAAGCAACAACUUUUAGACUACCUUCCCACCUUGGUAAGACGAUUUGCAGGAAACAAGCCUUCUGCAGGCUUACCGUUAGCGUACCGAGAGAAAACGCACCCAAGCACGAAGAAAACAGCCUUCUUUAGGCAGUCCGUUAGCGUACCGAGAGAAAACGCACCCAAGCACGAAGAAAACAGCCUUCUUUAGGCAGUCCGUUUGCGUACCGAGAGAAAACGCACCCAAGCACGAAGAAAACAGCCUUCCUCAGGCAGUCCGUUUGCGUACCGAGAGAAAACGCACCCAAGUACGAGGAAAAUAGCCUUCUUCAGGCAGUCCGUUAGCGUACCGAGAGAAAACGCACCCGCAGUUAAUGCAGCUUUGAGGGAACCAUCAGGAGGAUACGUCGAUUACGAAAAAUGACAACUCAAGAACCAGAUAACAGUAGUAGCAUUAGCGAUAGCGCAGCUAAAUGGCACAAAAUGGAAUCGCACUGGGACAAAAUCGUGCACGGCGAGAAUUGCAAAUGGACGAAGCAAAGCGCCCACCAUUUUCGUAAACCGCGAACCUUGGUUCAAAAUACUAAUGUAUGACCGUACAAGAAAAAUACCGUGAGAACAUCGAAGCCUUCGCAGGCUAGCCGUUUGGUCAGAUCGGGAGAAACUGACAGUCGUUGAACAAGCUAUGAGCAACACCAGUUACCAGUUAGUGUUACGAUAAAAGGCACUCAGUAAAAAUACGUUUUGCGGAAUCACAUUACAAUUCCUGGAUUGGUGUCAAAAAUUUUCUCAGAUCCAGUGUCCAUAUAAUCCAUAAGAUCGUAAGGGAAACAGUCGCAUCAGGGGUCGUCAUGACAAAUCGUCAGAAGUAACGCGAUUCUGGGCGCGGUAAAACCCUUGCUAUGGACUCAUGACGUUCUAGGGACUAAAUACCCCUUUACCUAUGCAAUUGUGUACCUGAAUUUGUACAUAUCUAUCACCUAUUUUGGUAAUUUCUCGUAAAUUAAGAAUAAUCUUACUAGUUUAGUUUUAUAAUAAAUUAGUAUUGAUUUGUGCCUGUUGAGCUAAAGUGGAAGGGUACAGAGAAGUGAGGAUAAAAACUCAGUCGGAGACGUUUUGCACAAAUUUUGUGGUGUUUGUGAUCGCUAAAUUUUCCAGAAUUUGCUGGUAUAUGAUUUUGAAGUUUAGUUUAGUUAGGUGAAGGAAUUUCGUAGUGUUUGUGAUUGCUGAUUUUGCCAGAACUCGCUGGUAUAUGAUUUUGCAGUUUAGUUUAGUUAUGUCAAGAAAUUUGGUGUUUUGGUGAGCAUAAGCUUGCGUAUUAUGAUUAGUACAUUUUGGUCAUUUGUCUAAUGUUUAUUAGAACAAAUUUCUGUCUGAGCGAUCCACAGUCUCUGACCGACUUUUUGUAUAGAAAAGUUUUAGUUUUAGAAUUUUUCAUGCAUCAUUUGCAACGGUGCAUGAAAAAUUCAUCCGUUUUGGUAAAGUUGUGUAACGUUAGACUAAUUUUGUUAUGUUAUAUCAAGUAUGCACUGAACGAAAAUUCGGAAAGUUAAACAUAUGUGGUAUACGUUGGAUGAAGCACAAACUUGCGAUACUGGCAGCACGGCACAAGCACUGAUCGUUUUAUCAUCAAACGCACAAGGCAGCUAGCGUAUAGUGGUUUCCGCUUACACGUCACUAGCACAAAGAAGAAACUGAAAAGAAAAGCACAGUCAACUUCCUUGUCCAACGAAGACGGACGUCUUUUCGCUCGGAGACAUCAACCAGAAGAGAUAUGGCUCGGCCAUAGUUCGUUACCGAAAAGAAAACUGGUUGCAAAAAAGCAAAAAUAGAAUCAAGCUCGAGCAAAGUAAAUCGCGGCACAUGGAUUCAUGACGUCACCGUUCACUGAGCACGAGGGAUCGAGCACACAAAGAACGUCCAGCUCAUCCAUAAAGAACCCGGAAAGGGUCUUUCUUCUGGAUCUUUCUGUUGGAUUUUUCUUUUGGAUUAUUAUUCUUCUGGAACUGGAGCUCUCUUGGCUCGAACACCGCACUGGAGACCGCACUGAUAGCUGGAGACAAUCAUCAGCAGCUGCGAAGGGACUCCAUUCUGGGUCAGAGGUUGAAGCCCUCUCGACACCGCGCCGGAUGUUGUGCUGAUACUGCACCGAGACAUUACGGAGACGUGCUAACGCCGGAAUUCAUCGUGGGGUCAAUAUCCUGCACGAAAUCAGUGUUUAAACCUGACCACUCGGACAUCGUGCUUCCUCCGUGUCUUGCAGUGUUUUAGUGUCGCCAUAUCAUCAUACCCUGUAGGCGACAUCGUCGCGCUGACGCCGUCAUAUGGAAACUUCAUGUGAGCUGAACGUCAAAUGCUCUGCAUCGUGAGUGAAGAUGCAUGUGGUGUGAUUAGGAUAGAUAGGAUGGAAGGAUGAUUUCGUAUUUUCCGAAAUGGAUCGCACCGAAUCUGAUGACUUUCGUCGGAUUCCUUUUCACCGUAGCAAAUUUUGUAAUGCUCUCUUGGUACGAUUGGGGAUUCUGGGCUAGUACGGAGCUACCAGGCGCAACACC
Malaya genurostris is the source of this 10232-nucleotide RNA transcript. It is a transcript of the gene named ethanolaminephosphotransferase 1, with no coding region annotated. The transcript is spliced from 6 exons. The record is from RefSeq and is a predicted model, not a curated record. NCBI's taxonomy places the organism in Eukaryota, Metazoa, Arthropoda, Insecta, Diptera, Culicidae.